This is a non-coding RNA of Pelobates cultripes (western spadefoot toad), 366 nucleotides long. NCBI's taxonomy places the organism in Eukaryota, Metazoa, Chordata, Amphibia, Anura, Pelobatidae. The record is from the annotation of a GenBank genome assembly.
CACAUUUACACACUGCCCACCCACACACUGAACCUUUCACACACAUUGCACCACUGCUCCUAUACCCUACUACAGCCCCAUAUCCCAGCAGACUCCAGGUAAGUUGUCAAACUGUUCUUAAACGGUUUGACGACUUACUCUGGGAGGGGGUGCCGACGCUCCUGGAGGAGUAGACAGAGGAGUACACAGAGGAGUAGUGGUUAUUGUGCAUGGAAUAUUUCUUUAAAUAAUCUACAAGUGCCCCUCUCAGGCUCAAGCUCUGGAUCCGCCAUUAGUAUAUGACAUGUAUAUUAAUGUGUGUAUUAGUUUUAUAUCUCUAUUAUAUUUACACAUAUUAAUGUACAUUUAUAAAUGCAUAAUACACAG